This 63-nucleotide small RNA is filed under the name Mycobacterium sp. 852013-51886_SCH5428379. RNAcentral describes it as "Mycobacterium sRNA Ms_IGR-8". It matches the Rfam family "Mycobacterium sRNA Ms_IGR-8". The record is from Rfam by way of RNAcentral. Lineage: Bacteria; Bacillati; Actinomycetota; Actinomycetes; Mycobacteriales; Mycobacteriaceae.
ACCCGGGACUUACGCCAAUGUGAAGCUGUUGCGAAUUUCCCGCGGGAAUCUCGCAGCAGCUUC